RNAcentral lists this ribosomal RNA (226 nucleotides) under uncultured bacterium. Its description in RNAcentral is "partial 16S ribosomal RNA". It matches the Rfam family "Bacterial small subunit ribosomal RNA", at positions 107 to 334 of the family's 1533-position model. The record is from RNAcentral.
UGAGUAACACGUAUCCAACCUGCCGUCUACUCUUGACAGCCUUCUGAAAGGAAGAUUAAUACAAGAUGGCAUCAUGAGUCCGCAUGUUCACAUGAUUAAAGGUAUUCCGGUAGACGAUGGGGAUGCGUUCCAUUAGAUAGUAGGCGGGGUAACGGCCCACCUAGUCUUCGAUGGAUAGGGGUUCUGAGAGGAAGUUCCCCCACAUUGGAACUGAGACACGGUCCAA